Molecule: long non-coding RNA, 1207 nt
Organism: Panicum virgatum (switchgrass)
Lineage: Eukaryota; Viridiplantae; Streptophyta; Magnoliopsida; Poales; Poaceae
Exons: 2
Source: RefSeq, a predicted model, not a curated record
CACGCCACCUGACGUGCAGAUCAUUGCAUCGGUAUGUUUUUAUUACAUAGUAUGUCCCCUGCAAUGGAUGGUCAUCACCCACUUGGAGACAUCUCAAACACUUGCAACCGUUGUAAGUGACCAAAUCGUGAAGGAUCUAAUAUCCAGGAGAACAACCUUGGUACUAUUUUGUCUGGAAUUAUUUUUAUAAUUGUUUGGUUAGUCUUGCUGGUUAUAGGUGUUACCACUGUAUAUAUGCAAGCUUGUUAGCAGAAAAAAAAAACAGAGCUUAAUAGUAAGAGGAGGGAAGCCUGCCAUUAGAAAAAUGCCGAGAGUGCAGUUACUAACAACAGUAUCAAACCACCAGGUAUCUGCUACUUGAUGCACUGCUUUAUUAAACACUGUGUUUUGUAUCCAAUCAAUAAAUCGAACUAUAAAUUAUACUUAUAUUGCCAAAGCAUUCCUAUCCAGACAGUACUCAAAUAUUUCAUUUGAGAGAUUUGUUUUGCUCUAUAUAUGAUUUGUAUAAUUGUAUUGAUGACUGAAGCACUCAUUCUCCCUACAGUACUCAAAGAUUUCAUUUGAGAGAGACAUGUUGCUUUAUAUGUAUUGUGUGUUGGUUUUUUUUGGUUAAUUUUUUAUUGACAUAUCAGAGAAUUUUGAGUCAAAGCAGGAAAAUUUCUGUUUCGGCUUUCCUCCGUGGCUCAUGUGUUUGAAACUUUGAAUCCAUGUAGCAUCUUUUUGUGAACUUUGUACAUAAUUCUUUCUCCAAAUGUUGUUCUGACUCCUUUACAUUUAUCUCCAUUGACCUAGGAAUUGAAAAGGAAGGAAGAGGCGGCAUCCUGAGUGUUGGUGGGACUGAUUAUGGGUCUAUUAGAGUAGGCACUUACGUGGGUUGCAAGAUGAUCAAGUGGUGCUGCAUCUAACCUACUUUCAGAAGUGUUGCUCUCAUGUACGUCUAUGCAAUCAAGCAACUCAAAUCCUGUUGAAUCAUGUAGUUCUUCUGGAUGCUAGAUCUCUGGGCAUUAAUGUUUGUGCCGCAAAUCAUGUAGGCAGUUACGUCCAUGUCUUUUGUAUAUUUUGUCUUUCUUAGCAUUUUAUAAGUUUUGGAGUGAGCAAAACACAUGGAUGAUGACCUUUGGAUAAGACUAAACAUCUCAUGGAAGUAUUUAUGGUCCCGUGGCAAGAGAAAUAUAGGCGAAAUGAUUUUGACUCUUAAGAUUUUCUA